CGUAUUUCCCCAACUAAAAGCCAAACCAAACGAGGAAGAAACUUGAAAUCCCCCUCCCGGUUUCCUCUCUUCGCACCUCCGCUUGAACGAUCGAGGCGCCGGCAGGCCAAGGAGUCUGGACUGGAUACACUCCUUCUCUUUUGUCCCGUGUGAUAAAAGAUUUAUAGCUUAUAAUAUCACAACAAUUGCCAUUUAGAAGAUUUUGGUGGCCAGAGCACAAAGCAAGUCACUGAACCAUGCUCAUGGUCUGCUGGAAUAUCACACUAAAACUUCAUGCUUGUAUGUGCAAAGACGAUCCCAAAAGUCCAUCAGUUGGUAUCCUGUCAAGAGGCUGGAACCACCUUCAUGGCCGUUAAUUCGUACAAGAUGGCCAAACCCAUUUUCAUGUACUAUGCCAUGCAGCAAAUGUCGUGGAUCAUCAAUCUGGGCAUAGUCCCAAUCUUCAGAUUCAUCAUGGGGUAACGCAGAACCAUGACUGCACGCCGGGCACCUGAUCAUUGAUUAAAUAAUUGUCAUAUCUGAAGACAUCAUUGCAGUUCAGCGUGUAAUUUU
RNAcentral lists this ribosomal RNA (552 nucleotides) under Triticum aestivum (bread wheat). Its description in RNAcentral is "partial small subunit ribosomal RNA". Lineage: Eukaryota; Viridiplantae; Streptophyta; Magnoliopsida; Poales; Poaceae. The record is from RNAcentral.